UUACUGAAGGAAUGUUCGAAAGCUGUACAAUACUAUGGCUUCGUUUGAGAUUACGGAAAAAUUACGUUACGUGUGUGAGAAAGUACGUUAGAAAAAUAUCCUGUUUGUUUCCGUACGUCAUAUUGCAUUCCGCAUAUUGAAAUGAGUCUGUUACGAUAUAUUUUCUGCUUCCGUACGUAAUAUUGAGUUCCGCAUAUUGUAAUGAGUCGGUUAUGAUAUAUUUUCUGCGGUCCCACCGGAGAACGCAGAAAUAUAUCUCUAUAUGCUUUUUUAACAGAUUAAUCAUAAUUGUUCGUUCUUAUUUGAAAAUUUUUUAAUUACUUAAUUAUAGUAGGAAAUAUAGGAAAUAUUUUUUUAUUCUUUUUUAAAUUCCGUUUGUCAAAAUUUCGGUACGCUUUUAUAUAUACUAGUUGAGUGUACAUGCAAAUGCACGUAACAAUUAUUUUAAUUUAGAGUUUGCAAUAAAAAUUAUAAUUUAUAAAUUUAUAUAUUAUAUUUUAUUAGAAAAUAUAUGUAAUAUUUUAUAAAAUAUGUAAAAUAAAUGUAAAGAAUGUUAUUUUUUAACAAAUUGAUCAUAAUCAU
This 582-nucleotide long non-coding RNA is filed under the name Ananas comosus (pineapple). RNAcentral's name for it is "long non-coding RNA (ACOM_LNC000830)". Lineage: Eukaryota; Viridiplantae; Streptophyta; Magnoliopsida; Poales; Bromeliaceae. The record is from RNAcentral.